UUAAGUUCAGCGGGUAUCCCUACCUGAUCCGAGGUCAACCACAGAGUUGGGGGUUCUGGCCGGCCACCGCCGGACCCUGGAGCGAGAGCUGUACUACGCUGAGGGCCAGGCGGCGCCGCCACUGUCUUUGGGGCCGGCCACCGCGGGCAGGGCCCAACACCAAGCAGCGCUUGAGGGUUGAAAUGACGCUCGAACAGGCA
RNAcentral lists this unclassified non-coding RNA (200 nucleotides) under Oidiodendron sp. RNAcentral's name for it is "partial internal transcribed spacer 2". Lineage: Eukaryota; Fungi; Ascomycota; Leotiomycetes; Myxotrichaceae. The record is from RNAcentral.